Molecule: ribosomal RNA, 480 nt
Filed under: Ectatoderus brevipalpis
Lineage: Eukaryota; Metazoa; Arthropoda; Insecta; Orthoptera; Mogoplistidae
Description: eukaryotic LSU rRNA
Rfam family: Eukaryotic large subunit ribosomal RNA
Source: RNAcentral
GUAGUAGCAAAUACUCGAGCGAGGGCCUUGAGGGCUGAUGUGGAGAAGGGUUUCGUGUGAACAGCCGUUGCACACGAGUCAGUCGAUCCUAAGCUCUAGGAGAAAUCUGAUGUAUGCGGGCCACAAACUCCCGCGAGCGAAAGGGAAUCCGGUUCCUAUUCCGGAACCCGGUAGCGGAACCGACCCACGAGGGCCCCCCCGCCCCUUAACCGGGGCCGAGGGAAGCUCACGCGGUAACGCAAACGAACCCGGAGAAGCCGUCGGGAGGCCGGGGAAGAGUUUUCUUUUCUCUAUGAGCGCUCGUGUUCCCUGGAAUUCUCUAGCAGAGAGAUAGGGUUUGGAGCCGCGAAGAGCACCGCAGUUGCGGCGGUGUCCCGGUCGUCCCCUCGGACCUUGAAAAUCCGGGGGUGGGCUACGUGGAGUUUCGCGCCGGAUCGUACCCAUAUCCGCAGCAGGUCUCCAAGGUGAAGAGCCUCUAGU